UGGGGGAUAUUGCACAAUGGGGGAAACCCUGAUGCAGCGACGCCGCGCGAGUGAAGAAGUAUUUCGGUAUGUAAAGCUCUAUCAGCAGGGAAGAAAUACCGACCGAGAGGUCAGCAGACNGUACCUGAGUAAGAAGCCCCGGCGAACUCCGUGCCACCAGCCGCGGUAAUACGUAGGGGGCAAGCGUUAUCCGGAUUUACUGGGUGUAAAGGGAGCGCAGACGGAUGGAUAAGUCUGAAGUGAAAGCCCGCGGCUCAACUGCGGGACUGCUUUGGAAACUGUGCAUCUUGAGUACGGGAGGGGCAGGCGGAAUUCCUGGUGUAGCGGUGAAAUGCGUAGAUAUCAGGAGGAACACCGGCGGCGAAGGCGGCCUGCUGGACCGAAACUGACGUUGAGGCUCGAAAGCGUGGGGAGCAAACAGG
This 422-nucleotide ribosomal RNA is filed under the name uncultured bacterium. RNAcentral's name for it is "bacterial SSU rRNA". It matches the Rfam family "Bacterial small subunit ribosomal RNA", at positions 355 to 776 of the family's 1533-position model. The record is from RNAcentral.